UGAGUCCGAGGAGCUACGGCUCUUAAGUGAUACGAGUCAGACUUCCCAGAAAAGCCCGAACCACGUUAAUCUCUAAUUACCUGUACCCGAAACCGACACAGGUGGGUAGGUAGAGUAUACUAAGGGGCGCGAGAUAACUCUCUCUCUAAGGAACUCGGCAAAAUGACUCCGUAACUUCGGGAGAAGGAGUGCCUUAUUUAUAAGGUUGCAAUAACAAGAUCCAAGCAACUGUUUAUCAAAAACACAGGUCUCCGCUAAGUCGUAAGACGAUGUAUGGGGGCUGACGCCUGCCCUGUGCCAGAAGGUUAAAGAAGUUGGUUAGUGUAUGCGAAGCUGAUGACUGAAGCCCUGGUGAACGGCGGCCGUAACUAUAACGGUCCUAAGGUAGCGAAAUUCCUUGUCGGGUAAGUUCCGACCCGCACGAAAGGCGUAAUGAUUUGGAUACUGUCUCGGAGAGAGGCUCGGUGAAAUAGACUUGUCUGUGAAGAUGCGGACUACCUGCACCAGGACAGAAAGACCCUAUGAAGCUUUACUGUAACUUGAAAUUGGAAUUGGACUUUGCUUGCGCAGUAUAGGUGGGAAGCGUUGAAAAUAUUCUUGCGGGAGUAUUGGAGCUAUCAGUGAGAUACCACUCUUGUAAUGUUAGAUUUCUAACUUUGAACCAUAAUCUGGUCAAAGAACAGUUUCAGGUGGGCAGUUUGACUGGGGCGGUCGCCUCCCAAAUGGUAACGGAGGCGUACAAAGGUUUCCUCUGAACGGAUAGAAAUCGUAUCUAGAGUGUAAAGGCAUAAGGAAGCUUGACUGUGAGACCUACAAGUCGAGCAGGGACGAAAGUCGGUCUUAGUGAUCUGACGGUACUGAGUGGAAAGGCCGUCACUCAACGGAUAAAAGUUACUCUAGGAUAACAGGCUGAUCUCCCCCAAGAGUUCACAUCGACGGGGAGGUUUGGCACCUCGAUGUCGGCUCAUCGCAUCCUGGGGCGGUAGUACGUCCCAAGGGUUGGGCUGUUCGCCCAUGAAAGCGGUACGCGAGCUGGGUUCAGAACGUCGUGAGACAGUUCGGUCCAUAUCCGGUGUAGGCGCUAGAAUAUUGAGAGGAGCCUUCUUUAGUACGAGAGGACCGAGAAGGACACACCGCUGGUGUACCAGUUAUCGUGCCAACGGUAAACGCUGGGUAGCUAUGUGUGGAGUGGAUAACCGCUGAAAGCAUCUAAGUGGGAAGCCCACCUCGAGAUGAGUAUUCCC
This 1244-nucleotide ribosomal RNA is filed under the name metagenome. RNAcentral's name for it is "bacterial LSU rRNA". It matches the Rfam family "Bacterial large subunit ribosomal RNA", at positions 1564 to 2815 of the family's 2925-position model. The record is from RNAcentral.